GUACCAGAGGGAGGAGGGGGAGGAGAGGGAGGAGUAGUUACUUUUGCUUCUGUUUGUAAAAUGUUUAGGCCUCGUUUAGAUAUGUUUAGGCCUCGUUUUUUUAGCUUUCUAAUUGACGCUCUCUGUUAAUUUGUGCCUAUUUGAAUUUGGGCUUAGGUUUCAAUCAUGCUCUCGUUGUUUUGUUAAUCUAUGCUAUUUUUACUUAAUGACAUUUUAUUGGGGAGUAACCCUUGUUUCUUGGGUUAUUUUACUUAAUGUCAUUAAGUAAAAAUCGCAUAGAUUAACAAAACGCCAAGAGCAUGAUUGAAACCUAAGCUCAGAUUCAAAUAGACACAAAUUAACAGAGAGCGUCAAAUUAGAAAGCUAAAAAAACGAGGCCUAAACAUAUGCAAACGAGGCCUAAACAUUUUACAAACAAAAGCAAAAGUAACUACUCCUCCCUCUCCUCCUCCUCCUCCCUCUGGUACUUCUCUUUCUUCUUUUGAAAGUAUUGCUUCUUCAACCGCGCAUAGGAUUCUCUUGAUGUUAAAUCCCCUUCCACGGACAUGGGUCCAUAAAUCUGCACGGAUGAGGAUCUAGCUUGUAGUUGCCGCCGUGAUUGCAGAAAUCACUGGGGCGGUUGCUUUUGACACCAUGGAAGCCCUUCCAGUGCUCCGUAAUGGGCAGUUUGCUGUUCCUGCGGAAAUGGGGACAAUCAACGUGAUUGCAAGGGAAUCUUCCUUGCUUGAAUUUCUUCUUCAAUGGCUUCUCUUUCGCAGAAAUGCAAAAGGCAGUUACUCCAUUUCCACCUCCAACCAAACCUAAAAAAAAAAUAACCACAAUUAGUUCUUAAUUUUGUAAAAAAAAAAGAAAGGCUUCUUCUACUAGAGAAUGAAUCAUCUUAAUCUUUAAUUUGAAGUUAGAAAUACAAAAUGAAAUGCAGAGAACAUGUUUUAUACUACAAACCGUAGUUAUUAGCUUACCCUAAAUAUACAUUGCAAAUCAAAGAAAAUAAAAACAAAGUAUACAUGUUUAAGGAAAAUCUGCAGAGAGAGUUGGGGAAGAAGAUGCAUAGAGAUAGGCGAGAGAGAUGAGAGGAAAAUGCAUUUAUAUUAGAUAGCAUGCGCACAAUACCGUGUAAUUAUGGAGAGAGGUGAGAGGGAAGGCACAAUAGGAGAGUUGGCUAGCCAAUUUUUGUGUGUUGUUCUUGUUUUGAAACACCUAUGUACCAUUUCUUGAUAUUGGUUUAGCUGGGACAACAAGCUGGCGGGAGCUCAGGUUCUGCUGUCUCGAGUCUCCUUCUUCGGAUCGAAGGACCUCGACAGGUACAGAGAAUCGGCAGAAGCAGUCAUGUGUGGUCUGUUACCCAAAUCGCCAACUGCUACGACUAGCAGAACAACACACAGGACUCCGAUACGCCUCCAACAGCGGCAUCACGCGAGCCACGAAUAACAACCGAGAAGAGCAGCCCAGCAGCUGAGACAAUUGAGCCAAGCGGUCGCGGCCUCCGCUCGGUCCAAGAGGAAGAAGACUUGCCGAGCAAGAUACAAGGAUUAUAGUUUUAAGUAGCAAAUCUUUAUGAUUAUCUUUUACUUUAGAUAUGUUUUCAACGUUGUUUUAGAAUAGGAUUUAUAUAAAUCUUUUCGGGUUUUCUUCUUGAUUCUUUCCCGAAUCGUAGAGUCGAAUCAAGCAGGGUCCGGAUCCUAUAAAUACUAGGAUCCAUUAGAGGUCAAAGACAUCGAGAAAUAUGAAAUAAAAUUCAGUUCUCGAAACCCCAAAGCUUGACCUAGUUGCUACUAGGUUUAUUUUUCUAUUUUUCAUCACAUACUUCCACAAAUCGGUGCUCUAAUCUCCUCGAUAAGAUUAUCAAUCCUAUCACAUAUGCAGGUGGUUUAGUAUGGAUAAGUCAAUGGAAUGCCUUGCAGCAUCCCGUCUCUUGCUGUCAUAUACAGCAAUUACAUGCUCUCGUCCCGAACAGCAAAAUUGUCUUGUAACGGAAGAGAUUUCAGGCCGUCAGAUCUGCGAAAAUUCGCAAUCUCUCAGGCAGAUUUUGUAUAGGGAAACAACCCUAUGAAAAUGAGUUAUCUUGUGGGCUAUGGAGAUAAGUAUCCCCAAUAUGUCCAUCACAGAGGAGCCUCCAUUCUGACUGAUGCAACGACCU
This is a long non-coding RNA of Salvia splendens (bonfire salvia), 2140 nucleotides long. RefSeq lists it as uncharacterized. The record is from RefSeq and is a predicted model, not a curated record. The transcript has 4 exons. NCBI's taxonomy places the organism in Eukaryota, Viridiplantae, Streptophyta, Magnoliopsida, Lamiales, Lamiaceae.